GCCCGGUUAGCUCAAUCGGUAGAGCGUGAGACUCUUACGUGUACAUGAAAUCUCAAGGUUGCGGGUUCGACCCCCGCAUCGGGCU
This 85-nucleotide transfer RNA is filed under the name Claviceps arundinis. RNAcentral's name for it is "tRNA-Lys". It matches the Rfam family "tRNA". Rfam says of the family: Transfer RNA (tRNA) molecules are approximately 80 nucleotides in length. Their secondary structure includes four short double-helical elements and three loops (D, anti-codon, and T loops). Lineage: Eukaryota; Fungi; Ascomycota; Sordariomycetes; Hypocreales; Clavicipitaceae. The record is from RNAcentral.